Molecule: ribosomal RNA, 2275 nt
Filed under: human metagenome
Description: bacterial LSU rRNA
Rfam family: Bacterial large subunit ribosomal RNA
Source: RNAcentral
AGAGCAUCGGGUGGAUGCCUUGGCACUGGGAGCCGAAGAAGGACGUGAUAAGCUGCGAUAAGCUGCGGUAAGGAGCACAUAUCCGAUAUACCCGCAGAUUUCCGAAUGGGGGAACCCACAUACGGUAAUGCGUAUGUAUCAUUAAGUUAAUACAUAGCUUAAUGAAGGGAACGGGGUGAACUGAAACAUCUAAGUAGCCCUAGGAAGAGAAAGAAAAAUCGAUUUCCUGAGUAGCGGCGAGCGAAAGGGAAAGAGGCCAAACCAAAUUGUUUACAGUUUGGGGUUGUGGACCACCGACAUUGACGAAGUUAUGCGAGCCGAAUAGGGUUGGAAAGCUCAAGCAGAGAAGGUAAUACUCCUGUAGGCGAAGCAGAAAGCGCAUAGGUGGCACCAGAGUAGGACCGGACACGUGUAACCCGGUCUGAAGCAGGAGGGACCACCCUCCAAGCCUAAAUACUACCCAGUGACCGAUAGCGAAUAGUACCGUGAGGGAAAGGUGAAAAGAACCCCGGGAGGGGAGUGAAAUAGAAUCUGAAACCUGAUGCUUACAAGCAUAGGGAGCGCAAGUGACCUAGUACUUUUUGUAGAACGGGCCAACGAGUUAUGGUAUGUAGCGAGGUUAAGUUGCUGGAGCAACGGAGCCGUAGAGAAAUCGAGUCUGAAUAGGGCGAGAGUUACAUGCUGUAGACCCGAAACCGGGUGACCUAUCCAUGAGCAGGUUGAAGUAACCGUAAAAGGUUAUGGAGGACCGAACCUAUAUCUGUUGAAAAAGGUUAGGAUGACUUGUGGAUAGCGGUGAAAUUCCAAUCGAACUCGGAUAUAGCUGGUUCUCCUCGAAAUAGCUUUAGGGCUAGCCUCAAGGUAAAGAUACACGGGGGUAGAGCACUGACUGUUCGCGGGGCCUUCACCGGUUACCAACAACUAUCAAACUCCGAAUACCGUGCUAUCAUACUUGGGAGUCAGACUAUGAGAGAUAAGUUCCAUGGUCGAAAGGGAAACAGCCCAGAUCAACAGCUAAGGUCCCAAAGAGUAAGUUAAGUGGAAAAGGAUGUGGGAUUGCACAAACAGCUAGGAUGUUGGCUUAGAAGCAGCCAUACAUUUAAAGAGUGCGUAAUAGCUCACUAGUCGAGUGAUCCUGCGCCGAAGAUAAACGGGGCUCAAACUUACCACCGAAGCUUUGGAAUUAGUAUAACUAAUUGGUAGAGGAGCAUUCUAUACAGGUAGAAGGAGGCGCGUAAGCAAAUCUGGACGGUAUAGAAGAGAGAAUGUUGGCAUGAGUAGCGUAAGGCGGGUGAGAAUCCCGUCCGCCGAAAAUCUAAGGUUUCCUGAGGAAGGUUCGUCCUCUCAGGGUAAGUCGGGACCUAAGCCGAGAGCGAACGCUGUAGGCGAUGGACAACAGGUUGAUAUUCCUGUACCACCAAGGAUUGUUUGAAUGAAGUGGGGACACAGAAGGAUAGAUUGAGCACGCCGUUGGUUGAGCGUGUCCAAGCAGCAAGGCUUGAAAGUAGGCAAAUCCGCUUUCUACAAGGCUGAGCUGUGAUGGGGUGGUCGAAUGACCGGUAGCAAUCGAUUUCACGCUGUCAAGAAAAGCCGCUAAUGAGAUCCAAGGUGCCCGUACCGCAAACCGACACAGGUAGAUGAGGAGAGAAUCCUAAGGUGAGCGAGCGAACUAUUGUUAAGGAACUCGGCAAAAUAACCCCGUAACUUCGGGAGAAGGGGUGCCUGCUUCGGCAGGCCGCAGUGAAGAGGUCCAGGCAACUGUUUACCAAAAACACAGGUCUCUGCUAAAGCGAAAGCUGAUGUAUAGGGGCUGACGCCUGCCCGGUGCUGGAAGGUUAAGGGGAAGUGUUAGGGCAACCGAAGCACAGAACUUAAGCCCCAGUAAACGGCGGCCGUAACUAUAACGGUCCUAAGGUAGCGAAAUUCCUUGUCGGGUAAGUUCCGACCCGCACGAAAGGCGUAAUGAUCUGGACACUGUCUCAACAAUAGGCUCGGUGAAAUUGUAGUACCGGUAAAGAUGCCGGUUACCCGCAGCAGGACGGAAAGACCCCGUGGAGCUUCACUGUAGCUUGAUAUUGAUUUUCGGCAUUGCAUGUACAGGAUAGGUGGGAGACGUUGAGUUCAGCACGCCAGUGUUGGAGGAGUCACCGUUGGGAUACCACCCUUGUAAUGUUGGAAAUCUAACCUAGUACCGUGAUCCGGUACAGGGACAGUGUCAGGUGGGCAGUUUGACUGGGGCGGUCGCCUCCUAAAGAGUAACGGAGGCGCCCAAAGG